Molecule: ribosomal RNA, 253 nt
Filed under: uncultured bacterium
Lineage: Bacteria
Description: partial 16S ribosomal RNA
Rfam family: Bacterial small subunit ribosomal RNA
Source: RNAcentral
UACGGGGGGGGCAAGCGUUGUUCGGAAUUACUGGGCGUAAAGGGCUCGUAGGCGGCCAACUAAGUCGGACGUGAAAUCCCUCGGCUUAACCGGGGAACUGCGUCCGAUACUGGAUGGCUCGAGUGUGGGAGAGGGAUGCGGAAUUCCAGGUGUAGCGGUGAAAUGCGUAGAUAUCUGGAGGAACACCGGUGGCGAAGGCGGUUAACUGGCCCAACAUUGACGCUGAGACCCGAAAGCAUGGGGAUCAAACAGG